CCUACGGGUGGCAGCAGUGGGGAAUAUUGCGCAAUGGACGAAAGUCUGACGCAGCGACGCCGCGUGAGGGAUGAAGGUUUUCGGAUCGUAAACCUCUGUCAGGAGGGAAGAAAGCGCAUGGCGCCAAUCAGCCAUGCGUUGACGGUACCUCCAAAGGAAGCGCCGGCUAACUCCGUGCCAUCAGCCGCGGUAAUACGGAGGGCGCGAGCGUUAAUCGGAAUUACUGGGCGUAAAGAGUUCGUAGGCGGCACGUAAAGUCUGGUGUUAAAGGCAGAGGCUCAACUUCUGUACGGCACUGGAUACUUGCGAGCUAGAAUGCGGUAGAGGUAAAGGGAAUUCCUGGUGUAGCGGUGAAAUGCUUAGAUAUCAGGAGGAACAUCGGUGGCGUAAGCGCUUUACUGGGCCGUAAUUGACGCUGAGGAACGAAAGCCAGGGUAGCAAAUGGGAUUAGAUACCCGUGUAGUC
RNAcentral lists this ribosomal RNA (465 nucleotides) under uncultured bacterium. Its description in RNAcentral is "partial 16S ribosomal RNA". It matches the Rfam family "Bacterial small subunit ribosomal RNA", at positions 338 to 795 of the family's 1533-position model. The record is from RNAcentral.